AGCUCCUUAUGGAGCGAAGUCUUUGAUUCCCCGCUGCCAAGAAAAGCUUCUAGCGAGAUAAAAGGUGCCUGUACCGCAAACCGACACAGGUAGGCGAGGAGAGAAUCCUAAGGUGUGCGAGAGAACUCUGGUUAAGGAACUCGGCAAAAUGACCCCGUAACUUCGGGAGAAGGGGUGCUUUCUUAACGGAAAGCCGCAGUGAAUAGGCCCAAGCGACUGUUUAGCAAAAACACAGCUCUCUGCGAAGCCGUAAGGCGAAGUAUAGGGGGUGACACCUGCCCGGUGCUGGAAGGUUAAGGAGAGGGGUUAGCGUAAGCGAAGCUCUGAACUGAAGCCCCAGUAAACGGCGGCCGUAACUAUAACGGUCCUAAGGUAGCGAAAUUCCUUGUCGGGUAAGUUCCGACCCGCACGAAAGGUGUAACGAUUUGGGCACUGUCUCAACCAGAGACUCGGUGAAAUUAUAGUACCUGUGAAGAUGCAGGUUACCCGCGACAGGACGGAAAGACCCCGUGGAGCUUUACUGUAGCCUGAUAUUGAAUUUUGGUACAGUUUGUACAGGAUAGGCGGGAGCCUUUGAAACCGGAGCGCUAGCUUCGGUGGAGGCGCUGGUGGGAUACCGCCCUGACUGUAUUGAAAUUCUAACCUACGGGUCUUAUCGACCCGGGAGACAGUGUCAGGUGGGCAGUUUGACUGGGGCGGUCGCCUCCUAAAGUGUAACGGAGGCGCCCAAAGGUUCCCUCAGAAUGGUUGGAAAUCAUUCGUAGAGUGCAAAGGCAUAAGGGAGCUUGACUGCGAGACCUACAAGUCGAGCAGGGACGAAAGUCGGGCUUAGUGAUCCGGUGGUUCCGCAUGGAAGGGCCAUCGCUCAACGGAUAAAAGCUACCCCGGGGAUAACAGGCUUAUCUCCCCCAAGAGUCCACAUCGACGGGGAGGUUUGGCACCUCGAUGUCGGCUCAUCGCAUCCUGGGGCUGUAGUCGGUCCCAAGGGUUGGGCUGUUCGCCCAUUAAAGCGGUACGCGAGCUGGGUUCAGAACGUCGUGAGACAGUUCGGUCCCUAUCCGUCGUGGGCGUAGGAAAUUUGAGAGGAGCUGUCCUUAGUACGAGAGGACCGGGAUGGACGCACCGCUGGUGUACCAGUUGUUCUGCCAAGGGCAUAGCUGGGUAGCUAUGUGCGGAAGGGAUAAGUGCUGAAAGCAUCUAAGCAUGAAGCCCCCCUCAAGAUGAGAUUUCCCAUAGCGUAAGCUAGUAAGAUCCCUGAAAGAUGAUCAGGUUGAUAGGUUCGAGGUGGAAGCAUGGUGACAUGUGGAGCUGACGAAUACUAAUAGAUCG
Molecule: ribosomal RNA, 1329 nt
Filed under: Bacillus anthracis (anthrax bacterium)
Lineage: Bacteria; Bacillati; Bacillota; Bacilli; Caryophanales; Bacillaceae
Also listed under: 5 other names
Description: partial 23S ribosomal RNA
Rfam family: Bacterial large subunit ribosomal RNA
Source: RNAcentral